GGUCCAACAGGGGGCGCCGCGUUGGAACGCCCAAAGGGGUUGGGGGUUCGGGUGCGGUGGGCGAGCAAGCGAGUGUAUGGCGGCCAGGCCCAGAAGGCCACGAGGACCGCUGGCGCCGAGGCGUCAGUCUUUCAGACUCCAAAAGUAGCAAAGGCCGAGCGAGGAGGUUAGGGGCUCCCAAAGGCCAGCCCUUGGGGCUGUUGAUGGCCAGGCUAACCCGACAGGAGGCGCCGCUGCCACCGAGUGACUGGCUACCAGAUUCUGAAACCCUAAGUGCCUUGGAUGAGUGGGGCUUAAGAGACCACAGAACUGGGUCAAGGAUUAAGCUCAGUGGCACCACACCUGCCUUGCAAGCUCAAGGUCCUGGGUUUGAUCCCUGGUACCAAAAAAAAAAAAAAAAAAUUAGAGGCCACAGAACUACAGCCAGACAUUUGAGGAAGCAGCAAAUACAAAAGACAGCUGAGUGGCCUGGCCAAAGACAGCUGAGAGAUUUGGUGUGGUGAGAGCCGAGGAUGAGCACCACGUGGAUGGACUGGAGGAUCAUCUUGGUCAGCCAGAUCAUCAGGAGGACUGGAGAAGGCACGCCAAGGUGCGCUACCGGAUUGUGGCUACCUGCUGCACACUGGUCAGCAAGGCAGUUUCCCCGCCGCCCGCCCCCGCCGGAUGAAGAUGGCAGGAGCGAGCCACCUCUCGGCUCCCCUUCCCAGCAUCCAAGCCCCGGCGGGCCAGAUGCGACACCUUUUCCCCGGCCAGGGCCACGCUCCUUCAGACUCGAGGUACUGUGCCCUCGCAACAGACGCGACCCGCACUCCACCCUACUCCCCUUUCCGCCCAAGACCACCGCGCAGACCCUGCGGUCGCUUUUCUCCUUCAUCCUAGCGCUGCGCGCCAGCAGCCCAGGAACUUCCAGCCGAGCCGCAGGCAGCCCCGCCGCCUUAGCAGCUGCGCGGAAAGGAUGGCGAUGCCCCGACGUGAUCGAGUCCGCGCUGCCAACCCGAGUAGCCCCCAAGGGUACCUCCAAAAGUUUCUGUACCUCUACCCGCAGCCCUCUUAAGGACCGGCGAUUGGACCAGGAGAGGUUGGCGCUGUGGGGCACUGACAGAGCUCCCAGCACUUCACUUGGUGAAGCCCACAAAUCCAGCAUGCGGCCCAUUCUCACUUUACUUCUUCAGCUUCUAAUGUAGUCACUGCUUGGGCAUUACACAGGAAGAUGGACAACCUCCGCCUCCACCCAGACAACGCUGGCCCCUGCACCUCUUCUCGUUCCAGUGGGCAUUUCCUUCAAGCGAUUGCCAUAGCUUGCUUUCAUAGCGUGACAUUACCUCCCCGUCUUCUCGGCUCCCCGCUGCAUUUCAGCCCCCACAGGACAGCUGUGCCUUUCUCACCCGCUCAACAGAGUAGACAUUCAGGUAAUUGCUGGAUGAAUGGACAGACAGCAGAAGGAUUCACAGACACAGACAAGGCAGGUGAGGCACCGCAGAAGCAGAGUGGCUACUACACGGAGAAAGCAAGCAGGAGCUCUGGGGUGGCCAGAAGGAGUUGGGGCCAGGGGUGUCCCCCAGCUGUCCUGAAUGCAGAAGUGGGGGCAGGACUCCCAACCCUUAGAGCAAACCAAUUCUCUUGGAAGUGUUGGCCCCACUACCAGAACACCCCCACCAGAGUUGGCAGGCUUCUAGGGGCUCAAGGACCCCUGAGUUCCAUUCUUGAGCCCUCUCGGGCUAUGGGCCUGAACGGGCACUAAGGUGGAGCUCGUCUGUGCCUGCUGUGCAGGUCAGGCUGACCAGUGCCAGGGGCUGUCAGUGGACGUGCUGGGAGCCAAGCUCUCCAGGAGACAGCAGGCUGAGGACCUCUGUCCUGCCAGGACCCCUCAAAUGAUACCAGUCAGGCCUGAGUCAUCCAGCCCCCCACCACAGCUGGGGUGUGUGGUGGGAGAGCCAUGAAAAAAUGGCCCAAGAGGCUAAGGGUGCUAGAAAAGGCCAAAACAUGAGAACAGAGUGUGAGGCUGCCACCCAGACUUGCAGCCAAUGCUGGCUGAGGGAUGCAGCUUGGCAAGCAGUGUGAUGGAGAGGGCCAGAACCCCUCCCUCCCUGUUCCUUCAGGCCACCUCUGCAGGCUGUGCCUCUGCAGCUUUUAGCACCCAGGAAAGGAAGGCAGAGCCCUGGGCGUCUGCUCACCAGCUCUGAGGUCCAGCCCAUCCUUGUCCUCAGGCCUACAGCUCUCGCUGCUCCCAGCCCGACUGCAGACCUGGUCUCCCUUUCUCAGCCAUACCGCCUGUCCCACAGCAGAGCUCCAGCUAAGUGCCAGCCAUGCGUGGGUCUGGGAGAUGUCAGCCCAUGAAGAGGCAAGACUCCCUUCCCAUUGGAGUUUACUUCUAGUGUUGAAGAUUGGAAUCAAGACACGUUGCAAGAAGACACUCUGGUUUCUAUGUGCACAACAGUAUCUUUAAUAAAGAAUUGCAGAGGAAAAAAAAAAGAGGAAGAAGGGAGCUGCUGACAAUCAGGUGCCAGGCACUGAAGACGCCAUAACCAGGAUGGAUGGAGACUCUGAGUCUCGUGGGCGAGUAGGCUCCAAGGUGCUUCCUCUCUGCAGACACCACCUUCGAAGUCAGGCUCCUUGUUUAGCCAUUAGCAUCAUGAACCUGACACCCUACCCUCUAUGAUGGGACUCUCCCCACAGCUGUGACUCCAUGUUCAUCCAGGUUACGUGACCUGGGCCUGGAGCAGUUUGACACAGAGGAUCCUGCUACCUGCUACUGUUCUGCUAGCUCGCAUCCUUCAAGUUCAUUACUUGCAUGAAGACUUUCAGAUGCCCACCAGCCUGCAUAAUCCUCUCAUCCAACAGAAAGGAACACCCUGUGGGGCCAGCUGUCCCCCAGGUGCCUGGGAAGAUUCUGCUAAUGGACUUGGAGAAUGGGCUCCGCUCGCUGAGGUGAAUUAGGUUUACCUUCAUUUGCCAACUCACUCAUUUCUAGCCAUUUUUUUGAAGUUGCUGGAGACACUAGAACCUUGCAUGUCUUUGCCUGGUGGCUGACAGGACACAGCUUUGUCCUUUCCACGAGCCCCCCCCCGUCUUGUGGAGACCCCUGUGGGAGUGGCACCCUGCUUUCUAAUGGGUCUUGGGGAGCACUCAAGCAGCUGACGCAUCUCUUAGUGGAUGUCCUAUAUGCCUGAGGACAUGUUUGCUUUUUCUCUCCUUCUUCCUUUCUUCCUUCCUUUCUCUCUCUUUCUCUCUCUAUCUCCUCUCUUACCAUUACUAUAUUUUAACUAAAUUAAGAAUCUGGCUGUGGAACUUGGCUUUUAAGGGCUUCUUAAUUUUAAACUGAGUCACUAAUACUUUAGAGUAUUUUGCAGAAUUCUUAUUUUAAAAGGUGGUACAUUGCCAAAGCAAUUCAUUUUCUCACUAUGAAAAAUUACGCAGGCGGCUAAAGUCUUCUUAAUGCUUGAAUCUGUUUUUCCAAUCAAACUGUGCCACACUCCUACCACCUUAGUGAAAAAGUACACAAAAUCCCUCGGUUUGAUUACCUCCCUGCCCCAGGGAUUGUAAAACAGUGUUGCAGCUCUCUCCUUUGCACCCCCAGGCCUGUUUUCGUUUGUGCCUGCUUUGCUGGUACCCAAGGUGGGAGCUGAGCACUUUGGAAGGGGAAGAAGGGGCCUCUGGUGAGUGUGGUCCCCUGGGCACCCACGCCCCGGAGCCCCUCAGCCAAGUGCUCAGCAGCGUGUGGCACCCACAGGAUCCCCGCUGCGAGCCAGGAGGCAACUGGGUCCCGUAGGAUCCACUCAGUGAGCCUGUGAAGGACAGGGCUCUCAGAGGCCGACCUGUUGUUUUUACUGCUAAGGAGGAAGUUGGCAAUGUUCAGGCACCAGCGUGGCUCUCUAACUAAUAUAAAGACCAGCUCCGGCUGCUUUUCUCAGCCUUUUGUAAAUGAUCUGUGGUCCACACUCCCCUCCAUGUGGAGGACCCGGGUGUGCAAGUCUCUCAGGUCUCCUGCAGCGCCUGCACCCUGUGUCCUCGCACCAGGGAUGCCUGCUAUGCUCAGCUGCUCAGUUCCAGCUUGUAGAGUGUUAAUCUCAUUCCCUUAAAAACUUCAGCGGGGAAUGAAUGCCCAUCACUAGCAAACUGGUUAAACAGAUUACAGUGUGUCUCAGCAUCAUAAUGCUCUGCAGCCAAUAAAAAGAAUGAGGCAGCAGUAUAUAUACAGGUACGGAGUAAGUUGCAAGAUGAAUUGCCAAGUGGAAGAAAGCAAAGUGUAGAGCACUGUGUGUAGAAUGUGCUGCCAUUUGUUUAAGGAAAAUCCAUAUCUAUAUAUCUGCAUCUGUAUCUUUGUAUAUCAUAUCUUUGGAGGACUACAUUGGGUAGGACAGUGACUUUCCUCUGUGGCCCUUUUAUGCCUUUUGGAUUGUUUUAAAACUGUAUGCAUAUUUGUCUACUUAAUGUAAUAAAUGAACAAAAUAUUAAAAACUUGUUAGUGGAUUUGCUGUUUAAAUAAAACCAAU
RNAcentral lists this long non-coding RNA (4493 nucleotides) under Heterocephalus glaber (naked mole-rat). RNAcentral describes it as "lncRNA (ENSHGLG00000049547.1)". The record is from RNAcentral. Lineage: Eukaryota; Metazoa; Chordata; Mammalia; Rodentia; Bathyergidae.